RNAcentral lists this ribosomal RNA (430 nucleotides) under Pseudomonadota bacterium. RNAcentral describes it as "Proteobacteria bacterium partial 16S ribosomal RNA". It matches the Rfam family "Bacterial small subunit ribosomal RNA", at positions 355 to 776 of the family's 1533-position model. Lineage: Bacteria; Pseudomonadati; Pseudomonadota. The record is from RNAcentral.
UGGGGAAUAUUGGACAAUGGGGGGAACCCUGAUCCAGCCAUGCCGCGUGUGUGAAGAAGGCCUUAUGGUUGUAAAGCACUUUAAGCGAGGAGGAGGGUACUGGUAUUAAUACUACCAGCUACUGGACGUUACUCGCAGAAUAAGCACCGGCUAACUCUGUGCCAGCAGCCGCGGUAAUACAGAGGGUGCGAGCGUUAAUCGGAUUUACUGGGCGUAAAGCGUGCGUAGGCGGCUAAUUGAGUCGGAUGUGAAAUACCCGAGCUUAACUUGGGAAUUGCAUUAGAUACUGGUUAGCUAGAGUGUGGGAGAGGAUGGUAGAAUUCCAGGUGUAGCGGUGAAAUGCGUAGAGAUCUGGAGGAAUACCGAUGGCGAAGGCAGCCAUCUGGCCUAACACUGACGCUGAGGUACGAAAGCAUGAGGAGCAAACAGG